UGAGGAAUAUUGCGCAAUGGGCGAAAGCCUGACGCAGCAACGCCGCGUGAGGGACGAAGGCCUUCGGGUCGUAAACCUCUUUUCUGAGGGACGAGCAAGGACGGUACCUCAGGAAUAAGUCUCGGCUAACUACGUGCCAGCAGCCGCGGUAAAACGUAGGAGGCGAGCGUUAUCCGGAUUUACUGGGCGUAAAGCGCACGCAGGCGGCAUGGUAAGUGGGACGUGAAAGCUCCUGGCUUAACUGGGAGAGGCCGUUCGAGACUGCCAAGCUUGAGGAUGGGAGAGGGGUGCAGAAUUCCCGGUGUAGUGGUGGAAUGCGUAGAUAUCGGGAGGAACACCAGUGGCGCAAGCGGCACCCUGGCCCACCCCUGACGCUGAGGUGCGAAAGCGUGGGGAGCAA
RNAcentral lists this ribosomal RNA (400 nucleotides) under uncultured bacterium. RNAcentral's name for it is "bacterial SSU rRNA". It matches the Rfam family "Bacterial small subunit ribosomal RNA", at positions 355 to 771 of the family's 1533-position model. The record is from RNAcentral.